AGCAGUGGGGAAUAUUGGACAAUGGGCGCAAGCCUGAUCCAGCCAUGCCGCGUGAGUGAUGAAGGCCUUAGGGUUGUAAAGCUCUUUUGUCCGGGACGAUAAUGACGGUACCGGAAGAAUAAGCCCCGGCUAACUUCGUGCCAGCAGCCGCGGUAAUACGAAGGGGGCUAGCGUUGCUCGGAAUCACUGGGCGUAAAGGGCGCGUAGGCGGCCAUUUAAGUCGGGGGUGAAAGCCUGUGGCUCAACCACAGAAUUGCCUUCGAUACUGGAUGGCUUGAGUUCGGUAGAGGUUGGUGGAACUGCGAGUGUAGAGGUGAAAUUCGUAGAUAUUCGCAAGAACACCGGUGGCGAAGGCGGCCAACUGGACCGACACUGACGCUGAGG
This 384-nucleotide ribosomal RNA is filed under the name uncultured bacterium. RNAcentral describes it as "bacterial SSU rRNA". It matches the Rfam family "Bacterial small subunit ribosomal RNA", at positions 350 to 751 of the family's 1533-position model. The record is from RNAcentral.